AGCCAACCCUGUUGUGGGGAAUCAGAGAAGGUAUCUCAAAUGGGAAGUCCAAUCUGGGUGCUUAGAGAUGUGUAAGAGUGAGCCAGGCGAAAGGAGGUGAACGUUCUCAGCUUCUCCUGAUUUGUUAACUUGGAAGUCAUAUUCUUUGUCUACCCCAAAGGACUACAGGGCCAAUGAGAACAGAAACUGCUUUCGUUCUGCCCCAACACACAACAGAAACAGAAGAACUGAAACCUCAGCUGAGGCUUCUGCUCUCGCAUUUCAGUAUCUCUUAUGACGUGGAAGAGCUGAGCGAUGCUUCUAAGGAGACAGAACUUUUUGCCUUGGUUUCCCCAAAAUUUCAAAGCAUCUUCAUGGAACAACAGAGAAUGCAAACGUUUCCAGACUAUAAUGCUGGGAUAGCUAAAGUGGAAAAUUUGAAUUUGGCAGGACCUCGUAGGGCCUUGAAAAAGGGAGCCAACUGGACUUCCUUUAUAAAGAUUAAGCCAAAAUGUGAUCCUUGGCAAAAGAAGCUUUUGACCAAACUAAAAGAACGGAGAAGAAUAGAUGUAUUAAUGCAACUCCAAGCAAAGUUUUUGAAGAUUUCCAAUCCUGAGCGAGUAAUGCAAGUGCUCCAGGAUCAUGCUGCAAAGACAGUCUUGCUGGCUUCAUCUCAUCCAACAUGUGUGGCUUCCCAGGGCAACUAUGACCAAAUCUGGGAGACUAUUUAUAGCAACAUCAACCUCUACCAGGAAGAUGACCUUUCAGUGCAACGAGAUGAAAAUGACCCAGCACUAAUAAAUCUUAGCCAGUGUGCUAAUAAGCCUGUGAAGCAGAAGAAAGAGACAGGUUACAGUUAUGCAGUGGCCCUACAGCUGCUGGGCUUGGAUGACGGGACUGGGCCCAGUAACAGGGAUCCUGUCCUGAUGAGGGGGACCUACUUGUCCUUUCUGUAUCUGCGUCACCUGAGGAUCCGGGAGCUGCAGCGCAUCUGCUUAGGAAUUCUGAACUAUUUUAGAUCUGUUGAGCGAACACUGACGAUCAACACUUCAGGCCUUACCUUGGUUUCAGGGAGCCUGGUCCCUACCUCAGAAGACAGUUCCUGGGUAAAUAAAGCAAAAGGAGGCAUGGGCACCUCGCAAGGCCUAGGCGCUCACCACUAUGCCCACGGGACACCUGCCGAGCACAGGGUCCAGAGCAUCCAAUUCAUGGAGUUCUCAGAAGUGGAGAACCAGGAUGACUACUACAGUAUGGAUGCUGGUUACAUCCACACCCAGGACCAGCAAGGAGUGUAUGUCAUG
Molecule: long non-coding RNA, 1280 nt
Organism: Bos taurus (domestic cattle)
Lineage: Eukaryota; Metazoa; Chordata; Mammalia; Artiodactyla; Bovidae
Source: Ensembl